AACAUUUGUGGUUGAAGUAGUAUCCUGGGAGUGCAUUCUGACGAAGAACAGCAAAGGACCUGAGCCCUAGGACCAUGCCUCAGGACUACCUGGCUUGAUGACUCCUUGCUGUCCCCAGUUCACCUGGCCGUGCUGCUGCUCCAGUUCCAACUGUUCUGCCUGCAGCUAUGGAACCCUGACCUGUUCACCGGACGUGCUACCUGUCCCAGACCUGCUGUCCCAGACCUGCUGGAACCCUGACCUAUUCACCGGAUGUGCUACCUGUCCCAGACCU
RNAcentral lists this long non-coding RNA (274 nucleotides) under Salmo salar (Atlantic salmon). Its description in RNAcentral is "lncRNA (ENSSSAG00000121968.1)". The record is from RNAcentral. Lineage: Eukaryota; Metazoa; Chordata; Actinopteri; Salmoniformes; Salmonidae.